RNAcentral lists this ribosomal RNA (301 nucleotides) under uncultured bacterium. Its description in RNAcentral is "partial 16S ribosomal RNA". It matches the Rfam family "Bacterial small subunit ribosomal RNA", at positions 509 to 808 of the family's 1533-position model. The record is from RNAcentral.
CAGCCGCCACGGUAAUACGUAGGUCCCGAGUGUUGUCCGGAUUUAUUGGGCGUAAAGGGAGCGCAGGCGGUUUAGUAAGUCUGAAGUUAAAGGCAUUGGCUCAACCAAUGUAUGCUUUGGAAACUGUUAGACUUGAGUGCAGAAGGGGAGAGUGGAAUUCCAUGUGUAGCGGUGAAAUGCGUAGAUAUAUGGAGGAACACCGGUGGCGAAAGCGGCCCUCUGGUCUGUCACUGACGCUGAGGCUCGAAAGCGUGGGUAGCGAACAGGAUUAGAGACCCCCGUAGUCCCUGUCUCUUAUACA